GACGAACGCUGGCGGCGUGCUUAACACAUGCAAGUCGAACGGAAAGGCCCUGCUUUUGUGGGGUGCUCGAGUGGCGAACGGGUGAGUAACACGUGAGUAACCUGCCCUUGACUUUGGGAUAACUUCAGGAAACUGGGGCUAAUACCGGAUAGGAGCUCCUGCUGCAUGGUGGGGGUUGGAAAGUUUCGGCGGUUGGGGAUGGACUCGCGGCUUAUCAGCUUGUUGGUGGGGUAGUGGCUUACCAAGGCUUUGACGGGUAGCCGGCCUGAGAGGGUGACCGGCCACAUUGGGACUGAGAGACGGCCCAGACUCCUACGGGGGGCAGCAGUGGGGAAUAUGGCACAAUGGGCGGAAGCCUGAGGCAGAAACGCCGCGUUCGGGAUGACGGUCUUCGGGUUGUAAACCGCUGUCGCCUGUGACGAAGCGUGAGUGACGGUAAUGGGUAAAGAAGCACCGGCUAACUACGUG
Molecule: ribosomal RNA, 468 nt
Filed under: uncultured bacterium
Lineage: Bacteria
Description: partial 16S ribosomal RNA
Rfam family: Bacterial small subunit ribosomal RNA
Source: RNAcentral